UGGGGAAUAUUGGACAAUGGGCGCAAGCCUGAUCCAGCCAUGCCGCGUGUGUGAAGAAGGCCUUUUGGUUGUAAAGCACUUUAAGCGAGGAGGAGGCUACUUGGAUUAAUACUCUAAGAUAGUGGACGUUACUCGCAGAAUAAGCACCGGCUAACUCUGUGCCAGCAGCCGCGGUAAUACAGAGGGUGCGAGCGUUAAUCGGAUUUACUGGGCGUAAAGCGUGCGUAGGCGGCUUCUUAAGUCGGAUGUGAAAUCCCUGAGCUUAACUGAGGAAUUGCAUUCGAUACUGGGAAGCUAGAGUAUGGGAGAGGAUGGUAGAAUUCCAGGUGUAGCGGUGAAAUGCGUAGAGAUCUGGAGGAAUACCGAUGGCGAAGGCAGCCAUCUGGCCUAAUACUGACGCUGAGGUACGAAAGCAUGUGGAGCAAACAGG
This 430-nucleotide ribosomal RNA is filed under the name bacterium. RNAcentral describes it as "partial 16S ribosomal RNA". It matches the Rfam family "Bacterial small subunit ribosomal RNA", at positions 355 to 776 of the family's 1533-position model. The record is from RNAcentral.